RNAcentral lists this ribosomal RNA (3246 nucleotides) under Patescibacteria group bacterium. RNAcentral describes it as "23S ribosomal RNA". It matches the Rfam family "Bacterial large subunit ribosomal RNA". The record is from RNAcentral.
UAAAAAGUUAAAUAAGCGCACACAAAGAAUGCCUUGACAUACUAUACCGAAGAAGGACGUGAGGAGCUGCGAUAAGCUCCGGGGAGCAGCCUACUAUGCUUUGAUCCGGAGAUGUCCGAAUGAGGAAACUCAGCUGGGGUAAUGCCCAGUUGCGCCUGCCUGAAUAUAUAGGGCGGAGACGCGGUAAGCAGGGGAACUGAAACAUCUUAGUACCCUGAGGAAGAGAAAAUAACCAAUGAUUCCGUAAGUAGUGGCGAGCGAAAGCGGAUCAGCCCAAACCUUAAUGACUUUUGCCUGUUAACGUAUGUAUUUAUAUAUAUGAAGACGGCAAAUAAGUUGAUAGACGAAUGUUAUUAGGGGGUUGUAACCAGUAAAUUACCAGUCCUGGGUAGUUCACCUUCGGGUGGAUGACCGGGAUUGGCUAGCAGGUGCUAUCACCAGCCUGCAUAAAGUCAGAAAAUUGUAAUGCGAGCAGAAUAAGUUGGAAAGCUUAGCCAAAGACAGUGAAAGCCUGGUACGUAAAGCGUUACAAACUUUAUCAUUUACUGUGUUGAGUAGGACGGGACACGUGAAACCCUGUUUGAAUCUGGGGGGUCCACCCCCCAAGGCUAAAUAUAUAGUAUGAUCGAUAGUGUACAAGUACCGUGAGGGAAAGGUUAAAAGAACCCCGGAAGGGGAGUGAAAUAGAUCCUGAAAUUGUGUGCGUACAAGGAGUCGGAGCCCCCUCGUGGGGUGACGGCGUGCUUUUUGUAGAACGAUCCAACGAGUUAUUUGUUGCUGCAAGCUUAAGGUAUUUACCGAAGGCAUAGUGAAAGCGAGGCUGAAUAGGCCGAUAAGUAGUAACGAAUAGACCCGAAACCAGGUGACCUAACCAUGGGCAGGCUGAAGCGCAUCUAAAAGUGCGUGGAGGGCCGAACCGUAGCAUGUUUCAAAAUGCCCGGAUGACCUGUGGUUAGAGGUGAAAUGCCAAUCGAACCUGGAGAUAGCUGGUUCUCCUCGAAAUAGCUUUAGGGCUAGCGUCGUACGGUAACAAGUUGGGGUAGAGCUCUGUUUCGGACUGGGGGUCGCAAGAUUACCCACCCUUGACAAACUACGAAUACCAUUUGCGGAACUACGGCAGUUAGAACGGCGGGGCUAAGCUCGUCGCUCAAAAGGGAAACAGCCCAGACCAUCAUCUAAGGUCCCCAAGUCUAUGCUAAGUGGGAAACGAGGUGAGAUUUCUUAAACAACGAGGAUGUUGGCUUAGAAGCAGCCAUUCAUUUAAAGAGUGCGUAACAGCUCACUCGUCAAGAGAUCUUGCGCGGAAAAUGUAACGGGGCUCAAGUAUAGCACCGAAGAUAUGGAUGUGAUGUGACUUCGGUCGCAUUGCGUGGUAGAGGAGCGUUCCUAUCAGCGUUGAAGUUGGACUGCGAGGUCUGGUGGAGCGGUAGGAAGUGAGAAUGUUGGAAUGAGUAACCAUAAGGCAGAUGAGAAUUCUGCCCGCCGAAAGAGCAAGGUUUCCUGGGCCACGGUAAUCGUCCCAGGGUUAGUCGGUCCUAAGCCGAGGCGCGUAGCGUAGGCGAUGGACAACGGGUUAAUAUUCCCGUACUAGUGUGAAAUUGUAUGGCGUGCGCGGCAUAUUAGUCGGAGCGGAUUCAUGGUUAUAUCCGUCUAACCUCGAGAAAUACGAGGGAAUGAAAGAACUUUUAGUUCGAUUCCGGUGACAGUGCUGACUAGAAAAGCAACCUUACUUAUGUUUUUUACUAUCCGUACCGCAAACCGACACAGGUGCUCAGGUCGAGAAGACCAAGGGGUACGAGUGAUUCUUCGUCAAGGAACUCGGCAAACAAGCGGCCGUAACUUCGGAAUAAGGCCUGCCCCCUCACUCUGUUAAUCAGAGUAGGAAGCAAACAUUGUGAGCCAGUUUUCUAACCGAUAGAAACAACUGUAGCUAUCUAAGUUUUUAACUUCUUAGAUAGUCAGUAUAAACGAGUAAUUUUCGAGAUUUUUAAGUUGAUUCAUAUCAAAUAGAAAGCUGACCCCAAUUAACUCCUCCGUCGUGGUUGAUAGAGUGAGGGGGCCGCAGCUAAGGAGCCCAUGCAACUGUUUACCAAAAACAUAGGUCUGUGCUAACACGAAAGUGGAUGUAUACGGGCUGACUCCUGCCCAGUGCUGGAAGGUUAAGGGGAGCUGUUUACGCAGUGAACUGAAGCCCCAGUGAACGGCGGCGGUAACUAUAACCGUCCUAAGGUAGCGAAAUUCCUUGUCAGGUAAGUUCUGACCCGCACGAAUGGCGUAAUGAUAUGGGCACUGUCUCGACGAAGAGCUCGGUGAAAGUGCAUUGACGGUAAAGAUGCCGUCUGUCCGCAGCAGGACGAAAAGACCCCGUGCAGCUUUACUACAGUUUGGCAUUGAGCCGGGGGUACACAUGUGUAGCAUAGGUGAGAGACUUUGAAGCUUAGGCGCUAGCCUAGGCUGAGUCAUCAGUGAAAUAUCACCCUUGUGUACCUCUUGUUCUUACCCGGACCACAAAGCGCCUUUAAUUCCUUUUUUAAGGACUCCAAUUGAAGGUGAUUUCUGGUUCGGGGACCGUGUCUGAUGGGUAGUUUAACUGGGGCGGUUGCCUCCUAAAGAGUAUCGGAGGCGUUCAAAGGUCAGCUAACCACGGAUGGAAAUCGUGGUGAUAGUGUAUACGCAUAAGCUGGCUUGACUGUGAGGGAUACAACCCAAGCAGGGACGAAAGUCGGAGUAAGUUUUCCGCUGUCAGUACAUUUGUACAAGAGUGUGGUAUCGGCAGCGCUUUCGGAUAAAAGUUACGCCGGGGAUAACAGGCUUAUAGCGCCCAAUAGUUCACAUAGACGGCGCUGUUUGGCACCUCGAUGUCGGCUCAUCUCAUCCUGGGGCUGGAGCAGGUCCCAAGGGUCCGGCUGUUCGCCGGUUAAAGAGGUACGUGAGCUGGGUUCAGAACGUCGUGAGACAGUUCGGUUUAUAUCCGCUGUGGACGUCAAGAAAUUUGCAAGGAUUUGUCCCUAGUACGAGAGGACCGGGAUGAACGCACCGCUGGUGUAUCAAUUGUCAUACCAAUGGCAUUGUUGAGUAGCUAUGUGCGGACCAGAUAAGCGCUGAAAGCAUAUUAAGCGCGAAACUGACCUUAAGAUUAGAUUUCUCUAUGAGCCCCCAGAAAGACUAUCUGGUUGAUAGGCGCAAGGUGGAAGUACAGUAAUGUAUGUAGCUGAAGCGUACUAAUAGGGCCACAGACUUUUUACG